UAGUCUUACCGAAACGAAGGGUUCCAUAGACAGACGUAAAUCCAUGGUGCUUUAUAACAUGCUUCAUGAUCAAAUACAAACAAAACGGACAAGAGGAAUAAUAAUAAUAAUAAUGGUACACACCACACUACACCAAUAAAUGUAUGUAUAUAAUAGUGAUAUAUAUAUGUAUAUAUAUAUUUGAGAGCGUGUGUAUAUUUAUGUAUAUUUAUACAUACACACACAAGGGUAGAUAUGUGAGGAAGCGUGUAUUUAAUUGUGUAUGUUAUGUGUGUAUAAAUAUAUAUAUGUAUAUAUAUAUAUAUAUAUUUGAGAGCGUGUGUAUAUUUAUGUAUAUUUAUACAUACACACACAAGGGUAGAUAUGUGAGGAAGCGUGUAUUUAAUUGUGUAUGUUAUGUGUGUAUAGAUAUAGAUAGGUGUAUAUGCGUGUGUGUGAUGUUUUCUCUUGUUCUAUACUCACAUCAUAAACAUAUAUACACGCUGUUGUUGUUGUUGUUGUUAUUUGUGUAGUUGUACUACAUAAACAGUUGUUAUUGUUGUUGUAGGUCUGUGGUGGUUGUGGAGUCGGUGUUCCGUGUUGUUGUUGUUGCUGCUGCUGCUGCUGUUGAUGAUGGUGGUGGUGGUGUUGUGACGAUAGUGUUCAGGGUGCUGAUGGUGGUAGUGGUAGUGGUGGUGGUGGUGGUGAUGUUUACGUUAGUAGUGAUGCUUGUUGGUGUUGUAGUUGUUGUUGGUGGUGGUGGUGGUGAAGUCUGAAAGUGAUGGAGGUUACGAUUAAGUGAUGAAGGGUUAAUGUUGGAGGUGGUGGUGGUAUUGUGUUCUGUCGUGUGCAGGGUAAUCGUGUGUAUUCAGGUAGAGAAGAUGAUGUUACUGGUCAUGAUGAUGAUGAUGAUGGGGAUGAUGUUGUUGUUGUUAGUGGUGGCAGCGAUGGUGUACAAGAACAGGGUGGGGUUGACUAUUUUCCAAUCUCACAAACAGCCAACCCUCUUUUUAAUAACUAACUUGAAAACAAAAACAACGAAAGCCGUAUACCAAACGAAGAGAAAAGGCAAGGGUAAAAUAAAUACAUAGAUAGAUAGAUAGAUAGAUAGAUAGAUAGAUAGAUAGAUAGAUAGAUAGAUAGAUAGAUAGAUAGAUAGAUAGACAGAUAGAUAGAUUAACAGGAAGGCGAAUGGAUAGACACGGUGGUUGACAGACCAACAGAAAGGUGGUUGGUUAUUAAGGUAAGGUCCGUGUCGAUAGGACAGACGUGUUAAACAGUUUAAAUAGACGUAAAUAGGUAAAAUAGGUAAGAUGGCUUGGUGGUUCUAUUGCGGGUCGAUAUGAUAGGUAGAUAGAUAGAUAGGUAGAUAGGUAGAUAGGUAGAUAGAUAGAUAGAUAGAUGGAUGGAUGGAUGGUCCGAAUGGUCGACAGACUAACAGACAGACGGAUAAAUACACGGGUUAUUUAUAUAUAUACUUCUAUAUACACAAUAGUUAGUAGUCGAAUAUGAACGAGUGUUUAUAGGGUACACAUACCUCCAUACACAACACACACACACACACAUAUAUAUAUAUACUAUAUAUAUAUUAUAUACACACGAUAUAAUAGGCGUAUGUUGCUAUUUGUUUAUUUCUGUGUAUGCAUGUGUAUGUGUGUGUGUAUUUGAUUAAGUAUGCGUUAAUUGUUUAGCAUAGUAUUAAUAGUAUGUAUGUAUGUAUAUAUUUAUAUAUAGUUUAUAUGGUAGGGUUUUGGCGUGUGUGUGUAUGUGUGUGGUUAGUUAUAUAGUAUAGUACAUGGUGUGUGUGUGGGUAGUGUUGCGGUGUGGUUAGUUAUAUAGUAUAGUACAUGGUGUGUGUGUGUGGUAGUGUUGCGGUGUGGUUAGUUAUAUAGUAUAGUACAUGGUGUGUGUGUGGUAGUGUUGCGGUAUGGUAGGGUUUUGGCGUGUGUGUGUUUGUGUGGUUAGUUAUAUAGUAUAGUACAUGGUGUGUGUGUGGUAGUGUUGCGGUAUGGUAGGGUUUUGGCGUGUGUGUGUUUGUGUGGUUAGUUAUAUAGUAUAGUACAUGGUGUGUGUGUGUGGUUGUAGUGUUGCGGUGUGGUUGUAGUGUGUGUAAAGAAAAGAAACACACAGGGGGAAAAAAACAACAAUAUGUAGUAGUAAUAAUAAUGAUGAUGAUAAUAAUAAUAAUAAUAUAAUAAUGAUAAUAAAAAAAAAACUAACGUUCGUAUGACUUCCCUGUCACACAAGGCAUGCCGCUUUUUCAGCAAGCGCCAGCAUCGCCGUGUAAGCCGGCACUGUCAGACUUUCUCCCUCUCUCCCUCUAACUCACACCAACUCCCUUUUACUUAAUCAUUUACAUAUACCGUCUCCUACUCCCUCUAUGUGUCCAUAUCUCUCUAUCUCACCUUCUUUUCUCACUUCCUCCCCUUCCUUAUUCACCCAGUCCUUCUUAUUCUCUCCCUCUCUCUCUCUCUCUCUCUCUGUGUCUCUGUGUCUCUCUUUCACUCUUUCACAUUACCCCCCUCUCACUGACUUGUUCGCAAAUACUUUUCUCCUUCUCUCACACUACGGGACUGUCUUGGUCUAUCUUUCUCUCAACUCCUCCCACUUCCUCGUUCAUCCCUCUCACGAAAUCUAUCUUUCUGUCUAGACCCCUCUUACCCAUACUCUCUCAUUCUUUCCCUCCCUCCAUGUAUAAGUGUCUUUCACACAUCCUCCUACUUCUUCACUUUCUACCUUCUCCUACUAUCUCCAUAUUUUAUCUCUAACUAUUACCAUAUCUCUCCCUCUUACACGCUCCUUCUCGUUCUUUCACUCCCUCUGUAUGCAUAUCUAUCUCUAUUACCUCCUCCACCUACCACUUUGCUCGCUCCUUCCCCAGUAAAUUCUUUCUAUCCCUCUUUUUUCUCUCUCUCCUCACGUCCCUCUUACUUACACACACACACACACACAUGUAUACACUCUCACACGCUUUCAAUUCUUUCCCUCCCUUUAUAAACCUAUACCUUUCAUUAUCCCUUAACUACACUCUCUCUCUCUCCUCCUUCAUCCUACUUCCUCACUCAUCUCUUUCAAUAGUCCCUGUUUCCUUGCUUCAUUCGUUCGCUAAUUCGCUCGUUCGUUCGUUCAGUAAGAUCUCACACAAAACUCAUACAAAUUCUUUUUCCCCCCAUCGGUCCAUUAAUCUCCAGUGUGUGCAUGUUGUGAGGGUGAGUUAGUUUGUGAAUAUGUCUAACUCUCUCUCUCUCUCUUUCCCACUCAUGCGAUUUAUUUUUCCCUCUGUCUCUCUCUCUAUCUCUAUCUACACGUCUCACUUCGCUGAUCCGUGUGUGUAUGUGUGUGUAUGAGUAUAUGUGUAUAUAUAUGUGUGUAUUUCUUUUAUCGUCUGUCCUCUUUGUGAGAGCGCGGGAAAAUUUAUGUACGUGCAUAUAUAUAUACUACAUAUAUAUAUAUAUAUAUAUAUAUAUAUAUAUAUAUAUAUAUAUAUAUAUAUAUAUAUAAGAGAGAGAGAAUGAGAGAGAUAGAUAGAUAGGUAGGUAGGUAGGUAGAUAGAUAGAUAGAUAGAUAGAUAGAUAGAUAGAUAGAUAGAUA
RNAcentral lists this long non-coding RNA (3570 nucleotides) under Octopus vulgaris (common octopus). The record is from RNAcentral. Lineage: Eukaryota; Metazoa; Mollusca; Cephalopoda; Octopoda; Octopodidae.